This 746-nucleotide ribosomal RNA is filed under the name uncultured Bacteroidales bacterium. RNAcentral's name for it is "bacterial SSU rRNA". It matches the Rfam family "Bacterial small subunit ribosomal RNA", at positions 42 to 776 of the family's 1533-position model. The record is from RNAcentral. Lineage: Bacteria; Pseudomonadati; Bacteroidota; Bacteroidia; Bacteroidales.
ACAGGCUUAACACAUGCAAGUCGAGGGGCAGCAUUUUAGUUUGCUUGCAAACUGAAGAUGGCGACCGGCGCACGGGUGAGUAACACGUAUCCAACCUGCCGAUAACUCCGGAAUAGCCUUUCGAAAGAAAGAUUAAUACCGGAUAGCAUACGAAUAUCGCAUGAUAUUUUUAUUAAAGAAUUUCGGUUAUCGAUGGGGAUGCGUUCCAUUAGUUUGUUGGCGGGGUAACGGCCCACCAAGACUACGAUGGAUAGGGGUUCUGAGAGGAAGGUCCCCCACAUUGGAACUGAGACACGGUCCAAACUCCUACGGGAGGCAGCAGUGAGGAAUAUUGGUCAAUGGGCGAGAGCCUGAACCAGCCAAGUAGCGUGAAGGAUGAAGGCUCUAUGGGUCGUAAACUUCUUUUAUAUGGGAAUAAAGUUUUCCACGUGUGGAAUUUUGUAUGUACCAUAUGAAUAAGGAUCGGCUAACUCCGUGCCAGCAGCCGCGGUAAUACGGAGGAUCCGAGCGUUAUCCGGAUUUAUUGGGUUUAAAGGGAGCGUAGGUGGAUUGUUAAGUCAGUUGUGAAAGUUUGCGGCUCAACCGUAAAAUUGCAGUUGAAACUGGCAGUCUUGAGUACAGUAGAGGUGGGCGGAAUUCGUGGUGUAGCGGUGAAAUGCUUAGAUAUCACGAAGAACUCCGAUUGCGAAGGCAGCUCACUAGACUGUCACUGACACUGAUGCUCGAAAGUGUGGGUAUCAAACAGG